RNAcentral lists this transfer RNA (74 nucleotides) under Camelus bactrianus (Bactrian camel). It matches the Rfam family "tRNA". Rfam says of the family: Transfer RNA (tRNA) molecules are approximately 80 nucleotides in length. Their secondary structure includes four short double-helical elements and three loops (D, anti-codon, and T loops). RNAcentral also lists the same sequence under 1 other name. Lineage: Eukaryota; Metazoa; Chordata; Mammalia; Artiodactyla; Camelidae. The record is from Rfam by way of RNAcentral.
AGGGGAAUAGUUCAGUGGUAGAGCAUGUGCUCAGCAUGCACGAGGUCCUGGGUUCAAGAUCCCCAGUACCUCCA